UACGUAGGGGGCAAGCGUUGUCCGGAUUUACUGGGCGUAAAGAGCGUGUAGGCGGCCAAGCAGGUCUGUUGUGAAAACUGGAGGCUCAACCUCCAGACGUCGACAGAAACCGCUUGGCUAGAGUCCGGAAGAGGAGAGUGGAAUUCCUGGUGUAGCGGUGAAAUGCGCAGAUAUCAGGAAGAACACCAAUGGCGAAGGCAGCUCUCUGGGACGGUACUGACGCUGAGACGCGAAAGCGUGGGGAGCGAACAGG
RNAcentral lists this ribosomal RNA (253 nucleotides) under uncultured bacterium. Its description in RNAcentral is "partial 16S ribosomal RNA". It matches the Rfam family "Bacterial small subunit ribosomal RNA", at positions 524 to 776 of the family's 1533-position model. The record is from RNAcentral. RNAcentral also lists the same sequence under 1 other name.